AGCCACUUCUUUUAAAAAAAAUCUGAAAUUUUUCUCUCCCCCCUCUUCUUUUUCCAAAAGCCGGCCAAGAGUCCGGCCAAGGGCCACCGUACCGGCCACCGGUCGCCGGUGCCGGCGCCGCCGUGCACGGCGGCGGGGAGACCAAAAGUCUCCCCUUUUUUCGCGGAAUGGCCUCCUCGGUGAGUUUCCCUCUCUUCUUCUUUAUUUUCGUUAAAAAAAUAAAUAAAAACAACGAUAAAAUAAAUAAAUAAAGAAAAACGCAAGAUUGCAAUCUAAGAACCAGGAAUCACCUUGGUUUUCCUUGCCUUUUUAUUUAUUUUCUUUGAUUUUGUCUGACUAUUACAAAAGGAGAAAUCCAAAGAAAAAAAAAAAAAAAACCCCCUUUUAAGUUACAUUUCUUUCGGCUUUUAUAUCCGAUUUUACUAUUGUUGUUGUUUCCUUUGCAGGUGGCUGGCGGCGCAAGUGGCGAUGGUGAUGGACGUGUGGUGGUGAAUGACGUGCGGUGGUGGCAGUGGCUAGGGGUAGGGUGCGGCGCCACUUGAUUAGGGGCUAGGGUUUUACUUUUGUUUUUUCUGAAAAUGGGUAUUGGGCCUGGGGUAUUGGGUUUGGUUCAAUUGGGUUUGGGUUUAGGUCUUGGGCUGGUGGGUUAGUUGGGUAGUUGGGUCUGUUUUUGUUUUGUUUGUUGGGCCCAGGUUUGGGCAAAAUUGGGUUGUACAGUUGCCCCUCUUUGCUCGUUGUCGUGUAACGAGAACAGAGCAAAGACUAAGAAAGACCAAUUUUGCCCGGUCUCGCCGAGUCUUGACUUCUUGGUGCCUUUCUUCUUCAAGUAUUUUCACUCCAGUCCACUGUGUCUUGUUGCUUCAAUUCAUUCCACUGCAACUUGAAAAAGAUGAGACUUGUAGCUUCAAUUCAUUCUGUUGUAACUUCAAGGGAGUGAGAUUCGGUUUCAGUCUGUUCUACUGCAACGUCAGGGAGAUAAGACUUGCUAUGAUAGAUUUAAUCUGACCUACUUCAACUUCAGAGGUAUAGGCAUUGGUGCUUCGGCCCACUCCGCAAUGUCAGGGAGAUAGAAUUACUGGCUUCAAUGUACUUCACUGUAAUCACAGGGACGUAAAAUCUGCCAUCUUCAAUUGUCUCCACUUUGAGAGAUAAGAUCUGAAAUCUUCAAUCUAUUCUACUGCCCACCAAGGAGGUAGAAUUAUUGGCUUCAAUGUACUCCACUAUAACCACAGGGAGGUAAAAUCCACCAUCUUCGAUCUGCUCCACUACUGCUUAAGGAGGUAAAAUCUGAUACGAUCUACUCUACUGUAACUUCAGAGAGAUAAGAUCCUUCAUUUUAAUCCGCUCCACUAUAAUCUCAGGGAGAUAGGAUUACCAGCUUCAAUCUGCUCCGCUGUAACCUCAGGGAGAUAAGAUCUGAAAUUCUUCGGUCUACUCCACUGUAACCUCAGGGAGAUAAAACCUGAUGCGAUCUACUCUGCUGUAACUUCAGAGAGAUAAGAUCUUUUAUUUUAAUCCGCUCCACUGUAACUUCAGGGAGAUAGGACAAUGUCUUCGAUCUGCUCCGCUGUAAUCUCAGGGAGAUAAGAUCUGAAAUUCUUCGGUCUACUCCACUGUAACCUCAGGGAGAUAAGACCUGAUGCGAUCUACUCUGCUGUAACUUCAGAGAGAUAAGAUCCUUUAUUUUAAUCCGCUCCACUGUAACUUCAGGGAGAUAGGACAGUGUCUUCGAUCUGCUCCGCUGUAAUCUCAGGGAGAUAAGAUCUGAAAUUCUUCGGUCUACUCCACUGUAACCUCAGGGAGAUAAGACCUGAUGCGAUCUACUCUGCUGUAACUUCAGAGAGAUAAGAUCUUUUAUUUUAAUCCGCUCCACUGUAAUCUCAGGGAGAUAGGAUUACUAGCUUCAAUCUGUUCCGCUGUAAUCUCAGGGAGAUAAGAUCUGACACGAUCUACUCUACUGUAACUUCAGAGAGAUAAGAUCCUUUAUUUGAAUCCGCUCCACUGUAAUCUCAGGGAGAUAGGAUUACUAUAUUCAAUCUGCUCCACUGUAAUCUUAGGGAGAUAAGAUCUGAAAUUCUUCGGUCUGUUCCACUGUAAUCUCAGGGAGAUAAGACUUGACACGAUCUACUCUGUUGUAACUUCAGAGAGAUAAGAUCCUUUCUUCAAUCUGCUUCACUACAAUCGAUGGAGGCAAGGCUUUGUUUUCGAUCUGCUUCGUUGUUAACGCAGGAAGACAAGAUCUGCUAUCUUCAAUCAGCUCCACUACAACCGAUGGAGACAAGGCUUUAUUUUUUAAUCUGCUUCGCUGUUAACGCAGGAAGGUCAGAUCUGCUGUCUUCAACCAGUUCCACCUCAACCGAUGGAGACAAAGCUUGUAUCUUCGAUCUGCUUCACUGUCAAGGCAGGAAGGUAAGAUCUGUUGUCUUUGAUCUGCUUCGCAGUCAGUACAAGAAAGUUAGAUCUGAUGUCUUCAUUAAUCUGUUCUCUGGGGAACAUGACCUGUAUGUUCUAUUUUAUGAACCUAAUUGUGCCUAGUGAUUAGGAUGACAUGAUCAUAACGAAUCAAAUGCUCCUAACUAGAUGUGUAUGAAUGACAUGCAAAAUGUCAUGAAAAUGAUUCCUUAAUGCUUAGGUUAUCAUCACACAAAAACUUAUUAAGGCUUUAUCACUGACGUGCUACAUCGCCUUCUUGCUCGGCUAGCAUAUCCAAAGAAACACUUAAUCUGAUUGCCCCUCAUUGUGAACGUCAAAGUUCAAUCCACUAGGACAUAAAAUUUGUAUCAUCAUUCUCCCACUGUAAUCCAAGAGUAGAAAGAUAUGGCUUUUCUCAAUCUUCUCCUAUCGCUAUUCAAGGACACAGAAUGUGAAACUCUUUGGUUUCCUACACCAUUCCCAAGGUGUCAUACCAAAUGCUCAUGCACAAUUGCAAAAUUUUAUUUCCCAAGAAAACCUUUACUUAUCACUCAGUGAUCCUUGCUUGUUUGUUCAUUGAAGCUUUGUCACCAAUACGGCAUCUUGUCAUUUUGUUCAAUCAAUGUUUAGACAACAAAAUCUAAAAGGAUAGUCUUUAACUUAGACUCUUCCUUCUUAGAUAUUUCACCCUUUAAACUUGGUGUUUUCUAAACAAUAGUCCUGUUUCAGGUCCCUAUAUUAUUUAGAAACUUCUAGAGUAAUAUGCAAAACUUUCAUUGUGAAAGUAUCAUCAUUCCAAUGCAACAUUAUUCUAAUGCAACAUGCUUGCAAAGAGAACAUAAUGAUAGAUAAAAUAGAAUUGAUUUGAGAGCAUAGCUCGAAAUGAAUGAAUUAUCAAGGGUAGCAAGAAUAAAAGAGGAAUUGAUUGGAACACGUAUCUUGAAAAAGAAUGAAGUAUUCCAAGAACAACAACAAAUUCAAUAUAUAAAUAGUAUGAAGAUUAGGUGCCCCAGAUAUCGCAGCUUGAACUUCUCUGUACAAACUUUCCGAAAUCUUUUUUGAGUUUGACAUGUGUUUAGGAGAUCUACAGGACUCUGUCGAUGCCCCAAGAUGUCGCCUUACCCUUUCAGGUAUAGCAAGAUCACCGUAUGCCCCAAUCUGAUCACUUCAUGCCCCAUUCUGAUCAAUAUUUGAGCCGCCCUUCGGGUUUUCAACUCAAAUCCCCUUUGGCUUAAGGUGCCCUUUGCGGGUUUUCCCCUUAGCCUCUCCAUUUUUACUUUUUCAUUUUUUCAUUUUUCAUUUUUAUUUUUCUCAUUUCUUUUUCUUUUUUUCUUCUUUUUUUGUUUGACUCAAAGUGCCCUUUGCAGGUUUUCACCUUGGUCCUUCCUUUUUCUUUAAACGAAGUGUUUCUUGACUGGAUCCGAGUUUAUAGGAUUAGCAAUCUCACUCAGGAUCAGUGCUCCUCUGAAAAUGGUCUUCUUUACAACAUAGGGACAUUCCUGGUUUGGCAUUCAUUUCCCUUUGGAAUCCUUUCGUUAAGGAAGAAUCUUUUUCAACAUCCAGCCCUCUCGUGGAAUUCUCUGAGACGAGCCUGUUUAUUAUGGGCUCAUAUUAUUUAUUUAUGGUACAUCUGACCCUGAUGAAUAGCCUUUUAACCCGUUUCCUCGGGCCAACUAAUCAUAUCGCGAUUGGAUUCCUCCAACAAGCAAUGAGGGGAUUUUAAUAGGUAAAACUACCUCAAUCCUGUAAACCAAAAAGAGAGGUGUUGCCCCAGCACAGAUGUUUGACAAACAAUGAGGGCAAAUGGUAAUUUCUCACGUCAAUCCUUGUAAGUCUCAGUCAUUUUCCUUCNNNNNNNNNNNNNNNNNNNNNNNNNNNNNNNNNNNNNNNNNNNNNNNNNNNNNNNNNNNNNNNNNNNNNNNNNNNNNNNNNNNNNNNNNNNNNNNNNNNNUAGGAACUUCAGUGACGAAUCAUGGUGUCCACUUCUGAGUUAAUUUGAGACCUCAGCUAUCGUGCUAUUGUUUAAGCUCAAUGCAUUCUCCAAUACCCUCUUCUCUGAAAUUCUAUAUCGGUAUACGAUGACUUUGGCUCAUGAAGUAGCCUCUCAAAAAAUGAAGCAAUGCCCAUUAGAAGUCUUCGAUAAUGGUGAUGUCCAUGCCCCAUUUUGUUUAAAAUUUGAGUCGCCCUUUUUCGGGUUUUCAACUCAGAUCCACCUUUGGUCAAAGCGUCCUUUGCGAGUUUUCGCCUUGACCUCUCCUUUUUUCUUUUUCUUUUUCUUUUUUCUUUUUUCUUUUUCUCCUAUUUUUGACUUUGAUUUUUUUUUAUUUUUUUGAUUUUUUGAUUUUUUGAUUUUUUUUUUGAGUCUAAACUCAUGAGAUCAGACAAGUCCUGGUCAUGUUUUUCGACCAGAAUCAAUGUUAUUCUAAAGUUUUCCACAUAAAAUCUUCUACUUUCAUCAUGUAUGUGAGAAACCUUCUUUGGUACCAAAUUUCUUUCAUAGAGCCCUUUUGGAACGCAACUACGACAGAAAACUUUGGAUCUUCCUCUUUAAUCCGGACAAAAUCCAACAACAUUUUGAAGGGAUGGAAACUCGACUUCAAAUGGGCAAAGCUAUGCUAACUCAACGAAAGAGGCAUUGCUCCGGCAAAGAAUUACAUCGUUCGUACUUGUAAAUUUCUGACAUCGUGCGGUUGUGCAGGUUUUAUUACAAGAAUCGAGGCAUACCCUGGUAUGAUCAUACAAAGACAUCUUUGAAUUCUUCGUCUCUAUGGGCAGGUCAAUUCUAGCCUUCACCAAGCUCACAAUUUCUAAUGAUUCAUUGAGAGGUAGGAUCCGUUUAUCCUCUUGUUCUACCAUCCUCAACAAGUUUGGAGAUAAGCUACGAUCUGUGUCAUCUUCAAAGUCGUGAGAUCCCUCUAAACCCAUGUCUCGCUCAAAAGGAGAUUCUAAGUCUGUAGCAGUGUCAUUCAUAUCGUUGAUAUCCAGGGACCUAUUGUAGGUACAAAAGAAUAUACAAAGAAUGUAUGAAUUUAAGAAUAAUUAUCUGCACAAUAUGAUUAUGAAUGAAUGAAAGAAUGAUUUGGAUGAAAGAAUAAAAGAAUAAAAAUAAUCAUUCAUAAGAAAUGAAAGAAUAUUGGUUCAAAAGAUCGCAAAGAUGCAUUCCAUUAAAAUAAUGACGUUCAGACAUGAGCCUAUUUCACAAAAGACUUCUUGUUGCCUCUAGGCUAAAAGCAACAAGUGUGUUUUGAAUAUUACUCUGAGUAAGCUCUAAAUACUACAGGGAUUCCUUUAAAACACUCUCAAGUUUAUAAGGGCGAACAUCUGAUAAGAUCUCUUCUCCGAUUGCUUCUUCGUAUUCGGCACUGAUGUGAACGUUUCCCAACAUCUCUUCAUUCAUUGCAUUCCUUUCAUUAUCCGUAUGAUUGAGUAGCGGGUUUUCUGUACUAGAUAAAUCGUCCAAUUUGACAAUGCCUAUACUGAUAAGCCUUUCAACCACCUUUUUAAAGGCGAUGCAAUUUUCUAUGGAAUGCCCCGUAUUUCCCGCAUGAUAUUCGCAUUGUGCAUUCGCAUCAUGCCAUUUGGGGUACGGAGGCUGUGGAGGUUUUAAGUAGAAAGGGGAAACGAUGUGCGCAUCGAAUAACUUUUGGUACAACUCCUUAUACGUCAUCGGAAUUGGCGUGAACUGGAGGUUCUCAGUACCUUGUUUCACUCCUGAUUCUUGCUUUGAAGACCUCUGAUGGCUAGCGACCCCUUUACCUGGAUGACUUACUGACCUUGAGUAACCUGUGUUGUUCACCUCAUUUUCUCUUUUCCUCGGGGCUUUCCUUUUAUUGCUCUCCCCUCCGUCUAUUCUUCCACUUUUCAUAGCAUGCUCGAUCAUUUCGCCGCUCAUGAUUAUAUCCAAGAAAUUCUUUGAAGCGCUUCCCAACAUGUGAGUGAUGAAUGGCGCUUUCAAUGUAUUAAUAAAAAGCGUCGUCAUUUCUUUUUCCAAAAGAGGUGGUUGCACCUGCACUGCCACUUCUCUCCACCUCUGUGCGUACUGUCUGAAGCUCUCGUUUGAUUUCUUCUCCAAAUUCUGCAGAGUUAUCCUGUCAGGCAUCAUUUCUGAGACAUGAUUGUAUUGUCUCAUGAAUGCCUGUGCCAAAUCUCUCCAAGUAGCAAUUUUGGUCCGGCUUAGCUGAUUGUACCAUUUUAACGCCGCACUUAUAAGACUAUCCUGAAAGCAGUGUAUUAAUAAUUGAUCAUUAUUAAUAUACCCCGUCAUUCUCCUGUAGAACAUAGUGAUAUGAGCUUCUGGGCAACUAGUCCCAUUAUAUUUCUCGAAUUCCGGCAUCUUAAAUUUGUAAGGAAGCACCAAAUCCAGAACUAAGCUCAGAUCUUUCGCAUCUAUUCCACGAUAACUGUCGAUACUUUCUAUCGCCCUAAACUUCUCUUCAAUCCAUUUCCAUUUCUCCUCAAACUGUUUUGGUAACUCUUCCUUUAUUUUGUCUUUCUCAGCUACUUCAUCGAAGUCCGGGACAACCAGAUUAUCGCCAGGACUAGAACCAGAUCUUACCUGAAGGUUCUUCAGUAUUGAAGCAUCAUCUUGAAAGUGCUGAGGCCUAAUCGAAACAGAAGGUCUUCGUGGAUGUGGUUCAAUCUGAAUUUGCGCUUGCAGAGGCGUGAAUCCUGGAGGAAAAAGUGGCUCAUCAUUGUUUCCUUCUUCAUCGCAAAUCACAGGACUUUUCCCUUUAUCCGCUCCCUUGGUUAUUAAUUGCAUUAAUUUAGUCAUUAGGUCAUCUUGAGACUCUUUCACCUUUUGCACCAUGUCUUUCUGGAUCUUUUCCAUAUGUUCCUUCAUUUGCCUCUGUAGCUGAUCUUGCAUCUCUUUUUGCGUUUGCUCCAGUUUCUCUAACCUUUGAUCCAUUUCUUUGGCUUUGCGACGAGUACUGUAAGGAUGUUUGGUUGAUUGGUUUUCCAGAUUAGUUGAAAUAAAUUUACUCAAUUAGACACUUUAAAUGGACUCUAAUGCAUGUAAUGCAAAUGCAUGAGAUGUAUGCCUAAAGAGACAUUGAUCCUGAUUCAAUUACAUUUAGAAAACUUUCUAGAAAGCAGAUUCCCUUACAUAAAACGGAUACAUGUACGGCUUCACCCUCAUAUUCCAAGAAACAACAUCGAUCUUUUUCUUCAUCUGCAUGUUUGAGGUAAUCUUGCCAAUAGAUGCCAUUGCUAGCUCCUUCUCUUAAUCUUGGUCGCGAUCCAUCACCUGCCCAUCUUCAUAAAGCUUGUCAGCUUCUUUAAGGGCAUUGACACGUUGAAGGCCCUCAGAUGAUCGCUUUGAAUCCACAGGCCCCGGUGCAAGGUCACGAACUCUUUUAUCGCCCUUCUUGUGUUUCUCAGAAUAUAUUUGGGAAGUCGUAUUGUUUUCCACUUUAUCAAGGAAUCCGUAUUCCAUGACAAGCUUUCUAAUUCAGUAAUCAGACUUGAAUCAAUAUCUCUUUCCUAAGAUGCAGAUGCGAUGCAAUCAUAAUCAAAGCAUAAUAAGAGGGGUUAGUACAAAAAUAAACAAGGAGAACAGAAAGUACCUAAUCGGGUGACUACUAGGGGUUUGGAGUGGCUCUAUCUAGGCUAAGUUCCUAAGUCCACUAUAUGAGGUUUGGCUCUAAAGAUAAGGGUACCCGAACCAGCAGAUUCCUCGAUCCUCACCCAUUAUAGGCUCAUACUGACCAAGUUCGGUUCAGGGGAAUACAUUUCCCUAUGGCUGCACGGAGAUGAAAAUCUCACGAAGACAUAGGUACGGAUGUAUCCCGAAAGCGAUCCACUAUCCUGCACGGAGGUGAAAACCUCACGAAGGAGUAGCUUCUCACUCCCACUUAAAAGGUGUGACCAGCGGUCAUGCAAUGCAAUGCAGAAAGAUAUAAAAAUUUAAAAUACAAAACAUGAUGAAAACUAUAACUCAAAACAAAUGAAAUGCAAUGAGAGGAUCGUAUAUUUAAAUCAAAUUUUCAACUUUUGACAAAAAGACAAGAAAUAAUCAANNNNNNNNNNNNNNNNNNNNNNNNNNNNNNNNNNNNNNNNNNNNNNNNNNNNNNNNNNNNNNNNNNNNNNNNNNNNNNNNNNNNNNNNNNNNNNNNNNNNCUUAUUUAAAGUCCCCAGCGGAGUCGUCAAGCUGUUGACACCAUUUUUUGGAUGGGAAACGGGGUCGACUUGGAUUUUGAAAAUGAAAACGGGAGUCGCCACCAAUCUUUUUUUGAUGAGAUGUGAUCGGGUCACCUUUAAAAGCAGUUGUUUUUAAUAAACAAUUUAAUUUUAUUAAAACAACGAGUUUGGUCUACAAAAUUCAGAAAACGGAUUCGGGAGUCGGUUACGCACGAGGAAGGAUUAGCACCCUCGAUACGCCCAAAAUUGGUACCUAGUUGAUUACUUAAUGUCUUAAUGUCAAAAAUUGAGACCUUUGAAGAAUUUUAAAAAAUACGAUCCUUGUAUUAAAACGUUAAAAAUUUUCAGGAAAAGGGGCAUAUUUCACGUUAAUCGAGGAAGAGAAUCAUAUCCAGUAAGUUAGGACACAAUGUCUCGAAUUCCCGAUACGCGAAUGAAAAAUGCUUAUUUAAAAGAUAUUUAAUUAUCUUGGAUUUAAAAAGGGAUCACGACCAGUAAGUUAGGACACGAUCCUUUUUUAAUUCCCGAUAUUGUUUAAAACUUGAGUUUAAAAAGAUUCGUGUAAUAAAAUUAAAAGGAUAUUCAAUUUUUUAAAUCAAAUGAAGAAAUCGCAGCCCAAUACGUUAGGGCACAAUUUCUCAAAAUAUUAAACAUUGAAUAUUACAUUUAUUUUAAAAAUCUUCAUCUCGAGAAACCAGCGUGUCACAUCCAAUGCACUAGGACACGACAUAUUGAAUUCUCGAUAACGAGCUUUUUAUCAUUUUUAAAAGAGUAAUCUCGAUUAUUUAAAUUCAACGAAAAAAGUCGGGACCCAAUACGUUAGGGCUCGAUUCUCUCGAAGAUCCAAAAUACCGAAUAUUACUUAUUUCUAAAAAUUAUUUUCAAAUCUAAUAAAAUGGGUGUAAUGGAUUGACGAUGAUAAUGAUGUAAGCAAAAUACUCACGAGGAAAAUAAAAUAUAAGUAAAUAAGAAGUCACAUAUAUAUAAAUAAAAUCAAUCUCAUAUGUACAAUAAUAAACAAAUAUAAAGCAUAACAAAUAAUAAUAGUGGACAUGUAAAUAAAUAAAUAAAUGAAGAAAAUAAAUAAAAGAUAUACACGUAUGAAUUAUAAAAUAUAACAAUAUAAGUAUUUACAUAUAUAUAUAUAUAAAUACGUUAUAAAAUACAAAAAUAUAUAAAAUAUAAGUAUGUACAUUAUAAAAAGUGUGUAUGUACGAGCAAGUAUGCAUUUUAAAAUAUAUGUGUAUAUAUAUAUUUUUUGGAAAUUAUAAAUAUAAAAGAUACAUGUAUGUACAUAUAUGUAUAUAGGAAAAUAAUAAAAAGUUAUAUAGAUAUAUAUAGGCAUAUAUAUAUAUAUAAAUUAUAAAAUAUAAAAGAAUGCGUUUGUAUGUAUAUAUAAAUAAAUUAUAAAAAUAUACGUACAAGCAUAAUGCAUAUAUAUAUAUAUAUAGAAUAAAUAAAAAAUAAAAAUAAAAAAAAACAAAACUAACGAAUAAGUAAAAGGGCAAAUAAAACUAAUAAUGAUAAUAAUUAAUAAUAAUAAUAAUAACAAUAAUAAUAUGAAAUUUGUUAAGAAAAUAAACAAAAUAGCAAAAGGACUUGAUUAAACAUUAAAACAAGAUUCGGGGGUUCAAAACUCAAAUAAACGAAAAGGGAAGGACUGUUCUGAACACGCAUAAAACAUGGGGGGACCAGCAAAGAAAAUUGCCCUUCCUUUAAAAUGACGUAGUUCAGGUAAGGAUUUAAUUGAAAACGCAAAACAAAUUUCUGGGUAAAAUUCAAAAGAUUAAAAGAUCCUAAUUUUAAAAGCAUUAAAAAGCGGAAGGGCUAAACGUGCAAUUAGCCCUUCCGUCAAAACGCGCGGAUCCCCUAAGGCAGAUGGGUCGGGUCUCGGGUCAGGAGCCCAAAAUGACGUCGUUUUGGGGCUGUCCUGACCUUAUCAAAACGGCGCCGUUUUAUCUUGGGUAUUUAAACCCAAAUUUCCUUCAAAAAUUCAUUUCAGCCACUUCUUUUAAAAAAAAUCUGAAAUUUUUCUCUCCCCCCUCUUCUUUUUCCAAAAGCCGGCCAAGAGUCUCCCCUUUUUUCGCGGAAUGGCCUCCUCGGUGAGUUUCCCUCUCUUCUUCUUUAUUUUCGUUAAAAUAAAUAAAUAAAAACAACGAUAAAAUAAAUAAAUAAAUAAAAACGCAAGAUUGCAAUCUAAGAACCAGGAAUCACCUUGGUUUUCCUUGCCUUUUUAUUUAUUUUCUUUGAUUUUGUCUGACUAUUACAAAAGGAGAAAUCCAAAGAAAAAAAAGAAAAACCCCCUUUUAAGUUACAUUUCUUUCGGCUUUUAUAUCCGAUUUUACUAUUGUUGUUGUUUCCUUUGCAGGUGGCUGGCGGCGCAAGUGGCGAUGGUGAUGGACGUGUGGUGGUGAAUGACGUGCGGUGGUGGCAGUGGCUAGGGGUAGGGUGCGGCGCCACUUGAUUAGGGGCUAGGGUUUUACUUUUGUUUUUUCUGAAAAUGGGUAUUGGGCCUGGGGUAUUGGGUUUGGUUCAAUUGGGUUUGGGUUUAGGUCUUGGGCUGGUGGGUUAGUUGGGUAGUUGGGUCUGUUUUUGUUUUGUUUGUUGGGCCCAGGUUUGGGCAAAAUUGGGUUGUACAAAAUUUUAAUAAUGUUUUAAUUUUUUAUGAAAUAUAUGUGAAUUGCCACACUAAUACUAUUAAAUUUUCAUGAUCUAGUCAACUUUUUCAUCUAGAAAAAUACAAUUGAACUAAAUUUUGAAGAUUGAGAAGCAAAAUAAUCCAAUAAAAAAUAAAACAAAAAAAAUAAUAAAAAAAAUUAUCAUCAUAUACUCUACUCUUUUUUCCCCCCA
RNAcentral lists this long non-coding RNA (11400 nucleotides) under Gossypium raimondii (Peruvian cotton). RNAcentral describes it as "long non-coding RNA (GRAI_LNC004097)". Lineage: Eukaryota; Viridiplantae; Streptophyta; Magnoliopsida; Malvales; Malvaceae. The record is from RNAcentral.